Molecule: long non-coding RNA, 369 nt
Organism: Homarus americanus (American lobster)
Lineage: Eukaryota; Metazoa; Arthropoda; Malacostraca; Decapoda; Nephropidae
Exons: 3
Source: RefSeq, a predicted model, not a curated record
UAUAAACAACUCUACAGUGCCCGGUGUCAAGCAGCAGAGGUGUAAUCUACAACUUAAAAUUAUUUUUUAAAAAGACGCCCCUGUGUAAGCUACACUGAUAAUUAAAGAAGAGGAGGGAGAAAAGGAAAUAAUGAUUGGAGGAGUCUGGUUGAUGUACUUAUUGGGGGCAGCAGUGAGGCUGUGGCUGAUGAACACCACUGGUGCUGAUUAUAUUGCCAAGCGAGUAGAGCUGUCAACACCACUCAAUUCCUGGAAGAGAGUGGAGGAGGGCGUAUUCUUACAUUCCCAAGGAAUCCCUGUGUACAAUGGAGGUGUCUUCCAUGAAACACCCUUGUGUCUCUUCUUCAGCAGUUUUCUUAUAAGGUAAUG